Molecule: long non-coding RNA, 64 nt
Organism: Etheostoma spectabile (orangethroat darter)
Lineage: Eukaryota; Metazoa; Chordata; Actinopteri; Perciformes; Percidae
Exons: 3
Source: RefSeq, a predicted model, not a curated record
CACCAUCACAUUGGUUGCCACGCCCUAAAGCAUACCCUGCAUUAUUGUCUAUUUUACUCUAAAU